ACUUACGUCCAUACCAACCUGGCUAUGACCGAUCUCGUUUGAUCUCGGAAGCUAAGCAGGUUUGGGCCUGGUUAGUACUUGGAUGGGAGACCGCCUGGGAAUACCAGGUGCUGUAAGCU
RNAcentral lists this ribosomal RNA (119 nucleotides) under Carassius auratus (goldfish). The record is from RNAcentral. Lineage: Eukaryota; Metazoa; Chordata; Actinopteri; Cypriniformes; Cyprinidae.